UGGCGGACGGGUGAGUAAUGUCUGGGAAACUGCCCGAUGGAGGGGGAUAACUACUGGAAACGGUAGCUAAUACCGCAUAAUGUCUACGGACCAAAGCGGGGGACCUCCGGGCCUCGCGCCAUCAGAUGAACCCAUAUGGGAUUAGCUAGUAGGUAAGGUAACGGCUUACCUAGGCGACGAUCCCUAGCUGGUCUGAGAGGAUGAUCAGCCACACUGGGACUGAGACACGGCCCAC
RNAcentral lists this ribosomal RNA (235 nucleotides) under uncultured bacterium. Its description in RNAcentral is "partial 16S ribosomal RNA". It matches the Rfam family "Bacterial small subunit ribosomal RNA", at positions 96 to 334 of the family's 1533-position model. The record is from RNAcentral.